Molecule: ribosomal RNA, 274 nt
Filed under: uncultured bacterium
Lineage: Bacteria
Description: partial 16S ribosomal RNA
Rfam family: Bacterial small subunit ribosomal RNA
Source: RNAcentral
AUACGGAGGAUCCGAGCGUUAUCCGGAUUUAUUAGGUUUAAAGGGUGCGCAGGCGGAACUGUAAGUCACCGGUGAAAUCCUACAGCUUAACUGUAGAACUGCCGGUGAUACUGCGAUUCUUGAGUAUAGUUGAGGUAGGCGGAAUGUGUAGUGUAGCGGUGAAAUGCAUAGAUAUUACACAGAACACCGAUUGCGAAGGCAGCUUACUAAACUAUUACUGACGCUCAUGCACGAAAGCGUGGGGAGCGAACAGGAUUAGAAACCCCGGUAGUCC